UUAGAGUUUGAUCCUGGCUCAGGAUGAACGCUAGCGGCAGGCCUAAUACAUGCAAGUCGAACGGGAUUUGGGAGCUUGCUCCUGAUGAGAGUGGCGCACGGGUGCGUAACACGUAUGUAACCUACCUUAAUCUGGGGGAUAGCCUCUCGAAAGAGAGAUUAACACCGCAUAACAUCACACCACAGCAUUUUGGAGUGAUCAAAUAUUUAUAGGAUUAAGAUGGGCAUGCGGAACAUUAGCUAGUUGGUAAGGUAAUGGCUUACCAAGGCUACGAUGUUUAGGGGAUCUGAGAGGAUGACCCCCCACACUGGUACUGAGACACGGACCAUACUCCUACGGGAGGCAGCAGUAAGGAAUAUUGGUCAAUGGGCGCAAGCCUGAACCAGCCAUGCCGCGUGCAGGAAGACGGCCCUACGGGUUGUAAACUGCUUUUAUACCGGAAUAAACCUUGAUACGUGUAUCGAGCUGAAUGUACGGUAAGAAUAAGGAUCGGCUAACUCCGUGCCAGCAGCCGCGGUAAUACGGAGGAUCCAAGCGUUAUCCGGUUUUAUUGGGUUUAAAGGGUGCGUAGGUGGCCUAUUAAGUCAGGGGUGAAAAGACGGUAGCUUAACUAUCGCAGUGCCUUUGAUACUGAUAGGCUUGAAUACUCUUGAGGUA
Molecule: ribosomal RNA, 657 nt
Filed under: uncultured bacterium
Lineage: Bacteria
Description: bacterial SSU rRNA
Rfam family: Bacterial small subunit ribosomal RNA
Source: RNAcentral